GGGUCAGUAGGUUGGUCGUGCCACCGGUACGUACUGGUCUCACUGAUUCCUCCUUCCUGAAGAACCGUAAUGCCAUUAAUUUGGUGUCGCGGGGAAACAGGACUGUUACUUCGAAAAAAUUAGAGUGUUUAAAGCAAGCUAACGCUUGAAUACAUUAGCAUGGAAUAAUGAAAUAGGACGAUCGAUCCUAUUUUGUUGGUUUCUAGGAUUGACGUA
RNAcentral lists this ribosomal RNA (216 nucleotides) under Glomeromycotina sp. Its description in RNAcentral is "partial small subunit ribosomal RNA". The stretch from base 44 to 216 matches the Rfam family "Eukaryotic small subunit ribosomal RNA", at positions 690 to 864 of the family's 1831-position model. The record is from RNAcentral. Lineage: Eukaryota; Fungi; Glomeromycota.